Non-coding RNA from Pseudonaja textilis, 390 nucleotides. The record is from RefSeq and is a predicted model, not a curated record. Lineage: Eukaryota; Metazoa; Chordata; Lepidosauria; Squamata; Elapidae.
CUCCGACGUCCUUCCAGAUCUUUGACUGCUCCCGGCUGAAGUUCUCCGAGAUCCCGCAGAGGCUGACCAACCUCCUGCUCCCCCCGGAUCCCAUUGUCAUCAACCACAUCAUCAGCGUGGACCCCAACGACCAGAAGAAGACGGCCUGCUACGACAUCGACGUGGAGGUGGAAGACCCCCUCAAAGGGCAGAUGAGCAGCUUCCUGCUCUCCACCGCCAAUCAACAGGAGAUCACCGCCCUGGACAACAAGAUCCACGAGACGAUCGAGUCCAUCAACCAGCUGAAGAUCCAGCGAGACUUCAUGCUCAGCUUCUCCAGGGACCCCAAGGGCUACAUCCAGGACCUCCUCCGCUCCCAGAGUAGGGAUCUCAAGGUCGGUCGGGGCGGGG